UACGAAGGGGGCUAGCGUUGUUCGGAAUCACUGGGCGUAAAGCGCACGUAGGCGGAUCGUUAAGUCGGGGGUGAAAUCCCAGGGCUCAACCCUGGAACUGCCUUCGAUACUGGCGAUCUUCGAGUCCGGGAGAGGUGAGUGGAACUCCGAGUGUAGAGGUGAAAUUCGUAGAUAUUCGCAAGAACACCAGUGGCGAAGGCGGCUCACUGGCCCGGUACUGACGCUGAGGUGCGAAAGCGUGGGGAGCAAACAGG
RNAcentral lists this ribosomal RNA (254 nucleotides) under uncultured bacterium. RNAcentral describes it as "partial 16S ribosomal RNA". It matches the Rfam family "Bacterial small subunit ribosomal RNA", at positions 524 to 776 of the family's 1533-position model. The record is from RNAcentral.